GCCCGUCGCUCCUACCGAUUGGAUGACUCGGUGAAAUCACCGGAUGCUUACGAGCAGAAAGUGAUUAAAUCACGUUAUCUAGAGGAAGGAGAAGUCGUAACAAGGUAACGGUAGGUGAACCUGCCGUUGGAUCAGUUCUAGUUUUAAUAACUAACACCAACUUCUUUUAUUAAACAAAAACCAAUACAAAAUUAAAAACUAACUUCAUCAAAAACCAAGUCUCUAAGCAAUGGAUGUCUUGGCUCCUCACACGAUGAAGAACGUGGCAUAAUUGUUAAGUAACCGGAGUGCAA
RNAcentral lists this ribosomal RNA (293 nucleotides) under Trichomonas vaginalis G3. Its description in RNAcentral is "5.8S ribosomal RNA". The stretch from base 1 to 137 matches the Rfam family "Eukaryotic small subunit ribosomal RNA", at positions 1671 to 1831 of the family's 1831-position model. The record is from RNAcentral. Lineage: Eukaryota; Parabasalia; Trichomonadida; Trichomonadidae.